CAGAGGAGUUGUCAAGCUUGAGUUUUGUGACUUCUCCAUCGUUGACACAAUGAUCCAUAGCCCAGCUUGAACGGUAAAGGUCCUCGAACCUAGCUCCAGGAGCAGCCUCACCACAAGAAAUCACACACACCACCAUCAUCAUACACAUGAACCAGCCCAUACCCACCAUUUUGUUUUUAAAUGUCUCUCUUUUUCACUCACACACUUGACUUGGUGGAGGAAACAAGUGAGGGAGGAGGAGAUUUAUAAAAUGCGAGAGAGGGGAGGGGAGGGGAGGGGAGUGUGAGUGAGCUGGCAUACAGUGGAGAGAGAGAUGCCACGUUGGAUUCGACGUGACAAUAAUAAGUAGACAAAAACACCCAUCUUCGUAAAGAUGGAUCACUCAAAACAAGAGAAGAGAUAAAAGAGAGAGUUUGGGAAAUGAAGCCGUUGCUGUGAGGGCAUCAAUCAGUGGGGCUCCACUUUGUACUACACUCAGGACAAGAAUUUAUGCUUCUCUGUCUACAAAAAAACCUCUCUUUGAGUAGAAAAACAGAGACUUUACUGGUUUUAGAGAGAGAGAGAGAGAUAAUAAGUGAAUAUAAUUGAUUCUAUUGAGUGUAAUAAUGAACGAAAAGAAAGAGUAGGACCAUUUUUACAGCUAACAUGUUUUCAUUGCAUUGGAUCCAGCUGUGCAUUUGGCUCUUUUGAGGUCAUAUCUAGAUCUUUUUUCAUGCAUCAAAAGAAAGGAAUUGAUUGGUAUACAGUAUUUUACUUGCUCUCUCUUUCCUUCCUUUAUGGGGGAAUUCAAAUUUUUGUUUGUCUUGCAGACAUGGAUUAGAUAUGGCAGGUGUGACGUUAUUUUAUGAAUAGAAAAGAAAAAGUAUAUUGCCUUGGUUUGGUGGUAGUUUAAGACAUUGUCAAGUUGGGCGUAAUUGUAUUGUUUGUUCGAUUUUAGUAUCAUUAUCUAUUUUAGUUUGGAUCACACAAAAAAUCUACUUUAGUUUGAUUGGGUUUAUAUACUAAAAAUUUCUAUUUAUUCAGUUUUAUAUUAAAAACCAUAAUUUUAUUUAUCUGUUAUAACAAAUUUUAGUUUAUAUGAUUAGAAAUCAGAUUUUUAUAUAUCACACCCAGUGCUCUAACUUUUAAAUAAAAUAUUAUCUGUUUUCUUUAACUAUUAACAAUAAAUGUAAGAAAAUAGUAAUAUUAUUAUAUUAUUAAAUAACUAUCUUUUAUACAAAAAUUUACCAAUAAAAUUUUCAAAAAUAGUUUAUUUAAUUUGAUGAAAAUGAAAAAAUAAAAAAUAUUAAAAUAAAUGUUUUAAGUAUGAAUAUUAUAUUAAUAAAAUAAAUUAUGUAUAUAUUUUUAAUUUUAUAUAAAAUUCACAUAUAAAUAUACUAAUAUGUUUUAAUUAAUCGACUUCGUCGAAUUAUUUGGUUUGAUCAGUUCGUACACUGAACAAUAUUUAUAUUCUGUUGUUUUUUUAAAAUAACAUCCAUUCGAUUUAUUCGGUUAUAUUUGGUUUUAAACUUUUAAUUGGUUUUUUUUUUGGUCUAAGGUUUUAAUUGGUUUAGUUUUAUGAGAUUGAAAAACCCAGUGUAAUUACAACAUUUACGUUUGUAUGUGUGUGGUAUAUCCGGGGACGAAGUUGUUUUUUCUUCCUGUCGGCCAUUCGAGACAACGAAAACGAAAACGAGAACACAUGCUUUUUCUGGACACUAAUGGAGAAUUGAAAUGAAAAUCACGGGCGUUUCUUGAAUCAAGACAAAAUGAGACACUGACGUAUGGUGAAUCUGAAGAUGAUUUAAGAACAUUAAACGAUUGGUUAAAAUGUUUGAAAUGUCAUUCAUAUAAAAUAGUAAAUCAUAUCAUCAGAUUCAAUGUUAUCUCAGUUUACAAAAGAAAAAUGUUAUCUCACUUAUCAAGGUUUGUUCUCGUGAACAUUUGCCGAGCAAGUGGCUAAGCUUUAUCUAAUAACGCGCGUGCAUGCACCGAAUGGCUUGUUAACUCAGACUCAUGCCUUUUAACUGUGUCAGUAGGUUGGUAAAGUUUAACUUUAUCGUAUCAUCAUCACGAUGGUACUAAUUAGUAUACUCCAUCUCCCUCUGUCAGUAAGUUAUGAUGAGAUGACGCAGAACUAAAGGCCUCUUCAUUACUUUUCUCACUCUUCAAUUGACUGUGAUCCAUUUUGGGUAGGGCUUUAAACUCAAAUCUACUCUUAACUGUCGUGAGUGGUUUUGUACACUCCAUCAUCAUCGUCAUGGCCUUCCUUCAGUCAGUAACUCAUGAUGAGAUGACGCCAAUUUUUUUUUUUUUUUCAUUAUAGGUCUACUGUCUCAUUCUUCAUUAGACUCUUACCCUUUUAAGGGUUUUUACUCAAAAUUAACAAAGAGCCAAUGAGCAUAAUAUGAUAAUAACCACGAUUAACAAAAUACACUCUUCUGGNNNNNNNNNNNNNNNNNNNNNNNNNNNNNNNNNNNNNNNNNNNNNNNNNNNNNNNNNNNNNNNNNNNNNNNNNNNNNNNNNNNNNNNNNNNNNNNNNNNNNNNNNNNNNNNNNNNNNNNNNNNNNNNNNNNNNNNNNNGCUGAGUCACCCUCCACGAGCUUAAUCUGGAUAGAAACUUUACCGAACAAAUACUUGCUCCUCGACUCGAACCCAGCUCCUGAAACAAUGAAUCAAACAUGAGUUUACAUAAACACCAGAAGAAACAGAGGAAACAGAACAGAUGAGAACUGAACAGAGGAAACAGAGCAGAGAGAAGAAAGGGAUUGGUUAGAGAUUAUGUACCAGAGGAGUUGUCAAGCUUGAGUUUUGUGACUUCUCCAUCGUUGACACAAUGAUCCAUAGCCCAGCUUGAACGGUAAAGGUCCUCGAACCUAGCUCCAGGAGCAGCCUCACCACAAGAAAUCACACACACCACCAUCAUCAUACACAUGAACCAGCCCAUACCCACCAUUUUGUUUUUAAAUGUCUCUCUUUUUCACUCACA
RNAcentral lists this long non-coding RNA (2968 nucleotides) under Brassica napus (rape). Its description in RNAcentral is "long non-coding RNA (BNAP_LNC002418)". Lineage: Eukaryota; Viridiplantae; Streptophyta; Magnoliopsida; Brassicales; Brassicaceae. The record is from RNAcentral.